This 1374-nucleotide ribosomal RNA is filed under the name uncultured bacterium. RNAcentral's name for it is "partial 16S ribosomal RNA". It matches the Rfam family "Bacterial small subunit ribosomal RNA", at positions 28 to 1383 of the family's 1533-position model. The record is from RNAcentral.
GACGAACGCUGGUGCGCCGCCUAAUACCUGAUCUGAGAACGCUGAAGGAUGAGCUUGCUUCUCCGGAUGAUUUGCAAACGGAUGAGAAACGCGAACGUAUCCUGCCUGGUCGCUCCGGGCAUCACUGAUUGGAAACCACUCCGUAAUACCGCAUAGCAGUAUAUAUUGCAUGAUAUCUGUCUUGAAAGGUGAUGAUGCGUCACUACCACAUGGACCUGCCUAGUAUAACCUAGUUGGUGACGUAACGGCUCACCACGGCAAGCUGCAUACACCGACCUGAGAGGGUGAUCGGCCACACUAGUACUGAAACACUGCCCAAACUCCUACGAGAAGCACCAUGAAGGAAUCGUCAGCCAUGCACCGAAGUCUGACCAAACCCCGCCUCGUGAGUGAACAAGGUUUUCUGAUCGCAUGGCUCUGUUGUACGAGAAGAACCAGUGUGAUAGUGGAGAGCUCACACUGGGACGAUAUCUUACCAAAUAGGGACAGCUAACUACUUGCCACCAUCCUCGGCAAUACGUACGUCCCGAGCGUUGUCCGGAUUUAUUGAGAGUAAAGCGAGCGCCCGCGGUUAGAUAAGUCUGAAGUUAACGGCUGUGGCUUAACCAUAAUACGCUUUGGAUCCUGUUUAACUUGAGUGCAAGAGGGGAGAGUGGAAUUCCCUGAGACCCGCCGACAUGCGUAGCAUAUAUGGAGGAACACAGGUGGGGAAAGCGGCUCUCUGGGUUGUAACUGACGGUGAGGCUCGAAAGCGUGUGGAGCAAACAGGAUUAGAUACGAUGGUAGUGCACACCGUAAUCGAUGAGUGCUAGGUGUUAGACCCUUUCCGGGGUUUAGUGCCGUAGCUAAUGCAUUAAGCACUCCGCCUGGGGAGUACGACCGCAAGGUUGAAACUCAAAGGAAUUGACGGGGGCCCGCACAAGCGGUGGAGCAUGUGGUAUAAUUUGAAGCAACGCGAAGAACCUAUCCAGGUCUUGACAUCCCUCUGACCGCUCUAGAGAUAGAGUUUUCAUUUGGGACAGAGGUGACAGGCGGUGCAUGGUUGUCGUCAGCUCGUGUCGAGAGAUGCUGGGCUAAGUCUCGCAACGAGUGCAACUCAUAUUGUUAGUAGCCAUCAUUUAGUUGGGCAAUCUAAUGAGACUGGAGGUAAUAAACCGGAGGAAGGUGGGGAUGACGUCAAAUCAUCAUACCCCUUAUGACCUGGGCUACACACAUGCUACAAUGGAGUGGUACAACGAGUGGCAAGUCGGUGAGAACAAGGUAAUCUCUUAAAGCCAGUAUCAGUUCGGAUUGUAGUCAGCAACUCGCAUACAAGAAGUAAGAAUUUCUAGUAAUCGCGGAUCAGCACAACGCGGUGAAUAAGUUUUCGGCCUG